ACAUUGGUGGUUCAGUGGUAGAAUUCUCUCCUUCCAUUCGAGAGGCCCAGGUUUGAUUCCCAGCCAGUGCA
This 71-nucleotide transfer RNA is filed under the name Loxodonta africana (African savanna elephant). It matches the Rfam family "tRNA". From Rfam's summary of the family: Transfer RNA (tRNA) molecules are approximately 80 nucleotides in length. Their secondary structure includes four short double-helical elements and three loops (D, anti-codon, and T loops). Lineage: Eukaryota; Metazoa; Chordata; Mammalia; Proboscidea; Elephantidae. The record is from Rfam by way of RNAcentral.